AAAACUGAGGUGGUAUACGAUGGUUCCGCGUCUGAUUAGCUAGUUGGUGGGGUAAAAGCCUACCAAGGCAACGAUCAGUAGCCGGCCUGAGAGGGUGAACGGCCACAUUGGGACUGAGACACGGCCCAAACUCCUACGGGAGGCAGCAGUGGGGAAUAUUGCACAAUGGGGGAAACCCUGAUGCAGCGACGCCGCGUGAGUGAAGAAGUAUUUCGGUAUGUAAAGCUCUAUCAGCAGGGAAGAAAUACUGACCAUAGGGUCAGCAGACGGUACUUGACUAAGAAGCCCCGGCUAACUACGUGCCAGCAGCCGCGGUAAUACGUAGGGGGCAAGCGUUAUCCGGAUUUACUGGGUGUAAAGGGAGCGUAGACGGCAGCGCAAGUCUGAAGUGAAAUGCCAGGGCUUAACCCUGGAACUGCUUUGGAAACUGUGCAGCUAGAGUGCAGGAGAGGUAAGUGGAAUUUCUAGUGUAGCGGUGAAAUGCGUAGAUAUUAGGAGGAACACCAGUGGCGAAGGCGGCUUACUGGACUGUAACUGACGUUGAGGCUCGAAAGCGUGGGGAGCAAACAGGAUUAGAUACCCUGGUAGUCCACGCUGUAAACGAU
This 605-nucleotide ribosomal RNA is filed under the name uncultured bacterium. Its description in RNAcentral is "bacterial SSU rRNA". It matches the Rfam family "Bacterial small subunit ribosomal RNA", at positions 202 to 810 of the family's 1533-position model. The record is from RNAcentral.